Non-coding RNA from Podarcis lilfordi (Lilford's wall lizard), 70 nucleotides. The record is from the annotation of a GenBank genome assembly. NCBI's taxonomy places the organism in Eukaryota, Metazoa, Chordata, Lepidosauria, Squamata, Lacertidae.
GGCUGUAGCUCAGGGGUAGAGCAUCUGCUUUGCAUGCAGAAGAUCUCAGGUUCCAUCACCAGAAUCUCCU